This 69-nucleotide transfer RNA is filed under the name Ictidomys tridecemlineatus (thirteen-lined ground squirrel). Its description in RNAcentral is "Spermophilus tridecemlineatus (thirteen-lined ground squirrel) tRNA". It matches the Rfam family "tRNA". Rfam says of the family: Transfer RNA (tRNA) molecules are approximately 80 nucleotides in length. Their secondary structure includes four short double-helical elements and three loops (D, anti-codon, and T loops). Lineage: Eukaryota; Metazoa; Chordata; Mammalia; Rodentia; Sciuridae. The record is from Rfam by way of RNAcentral.
GGGGCUGUAGCUCAGUGGUAGAGCACCUGCUUCGUACGUGUGAGGCACUGGGUUCAGUCCCCAGCACCA